GACGAACGCUGGCGGCGUGCUUAACACAUGCAAGUCGAACGGAAAGGCCCCUUUGGGGGUACUCGAGUGGCGAACGGGUGAGUAACACGUGCGUAACCUGCCCUUGACUUCGGGAUAACUUCAGGAAACUGGGGCUAAUACCGGAUAGGAAUCCUAGCUGCAUGGUGGGGGUUGGAAAGCUUCGGGGGGUUUGGAUGGACUCGCGGCUUAUCAGCUUGUUGGUGGGGUAGUGGCUUACCAAGGCGUUGACGGGUAGCCGGCCUGGGAGGGCGACCGGCGACAUUGGGACCUAGAUGCGGCCCAGACUGCUACGGGAGGGAGCAGUGGGGAAGAUUGCACAAGGGGCGGAAGCCUGAUGCAGCAACGCCGCGUGCGGGAUGACGGCCUUCGGGUUGUAAACCGCUUUCAGCAGGGGCGAAGCUUGUGGUGACGGUACCUGCAGAAGAAGCACCGGCUAACUACGUG
This 465-nucleotide ribosomal RNA is filed under the name uncultured bacterium. RNAcentral's name for it is "partial 16S ribosomal RNA". It matches the Rfam family "Bacterial small subunit ribosomal RNA", at positions 28 to 507 of the family's 1533-position model. The record is from RNAcentral.